GAUGAACGCUGGCGGCGUGCCUAAUACAUGCAAGUCGAGCGAACAGACGAGGAGCUUGCUCCUCUGACGUUAGCGGCGGACGGGUGAGUAACACGUGGAUAACCUACCUAUAAGACUGGGAUAACUUCGGGAAACCGGAGCUAAUACCGGAUAAUAUAUUGAACCGCAUGGUUCAAUAGUGAAAGACGGUUUUGCUGUCACUUAUAGAUGGAUCCGCGCCGCAUUAGCUAGUUGGUAAGGUAACGGCUUACCAAGGCAACGAUGCGUAGCCGACCUGAGAGGGUGAUCGGCCACACUGGAACUGGGACACGGUCCAGACUCCUACGGGAGGCAGCAGUAGGGAAUCUGCCGCAAUGGGCGAAAGCCUGACGGAGCAACGCCGCGUGAGUGAUGAAGGUCUUCGGAUCGUAAAACUCUGUUAUUAGGGAAGAACAAAUGUGUAAGUAACUAUGCACGUCUUGACGGUACCUAAUCAGAAAGCCACGGCUAACUACGUG
RNAcentral lists this ribosomal RNA (497 nucleotides) under uncultured bacterium. RNAcentral describes it as "partial 16S ribosomal RNA". It matches the Rfam family "Bacterial small subunit ribosomal RNA", at positions 28 to 507 of the family's 1533-position model. The record is from RNAcentral.